Long non-coding RNA from Vicia villosa (hairy vetch), 557 nucleotides. RefSeq lists it as uncharacterized. The transcript has 3 exons. The record is from RefSeq and is a predicted model, not a curated record. NCBI's taxonomy places the organism in Eukaryota, Viridiplantae, Streptophyta, Magnoliopsida, Fabales, Fabaceae.
CCCUUCAGUUUAGCCCUCUAUCGAUUCUCCUUCACACACGACCUGCUUUCUCACAACUCGCUUCGACCGCCGAUUCUGCUUGUUGACAUUCCACCUGCGUCUGCAGCUAACGAAAACAUCGAUUACUCCGCGGUCAUCUUUCUCACUAAGGCCUGGAUGGGGGAUUGACUUUGAGGUUGCGCCAGGAGAACUGGGAGAAACAGAGCUGCCUAAUCCUUACAAACUUGAAAAUAGGAGUUUUAUGUGCAAAUUUAAUAUGGCUGGUUGAUAGCAAAUAAUCGGUAAUGGUGUCUGUUAGCUUAAAUCAUCGCUUCUGGAAUGGCAUUUAGCGGUAAGCUUCUUUGCCGAUGUUUACUAAUGUAGUGUGUUGAUGACUUGGAAGUUCAGUUUAAUUUAUCUUGAAGGUGAAAUAACUUAAAACUUUACCUUUAUAUACACACAAAAUUCAUUUAUAAGAAGGCUUGCGGUUUUUGUACCAUAUUUGUUGCUUUCCCUUUAAUGAUGUGCAUAGAAGAGUGAAAUGACGAUCCUUUAGUUGCAGGACAUGUUAUUUUUUU